Non-coding RNA from Meriones unguiculatus (Mongolian gerbil), 713 nucleotides. The record is from the annotation of a RefSeq genome assembly. Lineage: Eukaryota; Metazoa; Chordata; Mammalia; Rodentia; Muridae.
AUCAUUUGAUGUCGUUUCAUCAUUUCUUUGUGUGAAGAGUCAAGAACAGUAGCUGGGUGACACUGAAGAUGAACCCUCCUCCAGCUUUAGUGACUAUGAUGUUGUUCAUGCUUGGGAGGAUCCAUGGAGACUCCGUGACACAGAAACAAGGUCAAGUGACCCUCUCAGAAGGCAAUUUUCUAUUUAUAAACUGCAUGUUCUCAGCCACAGGGUUCCCAACUCUUUUCUGGUAUGUUCGAUAUCCUGGAGAAGGCCCACAUCUCCUCCUGAAAGUCAUCACAGCUGGCGAGAAGGGAAGCAGCAGAGGGUUUGGAGCCACAUAUGAUAGAGGAACCACCUCCUUCCACUUGCAGAAAGCCUCGGUGCAGGAGUCAGACUCGGCUGUGUACUACUGUGCUCUGGGGGUGAGUAGCCAGCUGAAGGUGGAGCAGAUCCCAGAAUCCCUCAGUGUCCCAGAGGGAGCCAUGGCUUCUCUCAACUGCACUUUCAGUGAUCGUAAUUCUGUGUACUUCUGGUGGUACAGACAGCAUUCUGGGAAAGGCCUCGAGGUGCUGAUGUCCAUCUUCUCCAAUGGUGACAAGGAGGAAGGCAGAUUCACAGCUCACCUCAAUAAAGGCAGCCUGCACGUUUCCCUGCACAUCAGAGACUCCCAGCCCAGUGACUCUGCUGUCUACCUCUGUGCAGUAUGGGAUUACAGGCUUGUGCCACCAUAA